CUCCACCGGCUGGUUUGCUUUUGUUUGCACUCUACAACACUACACUCACCCAUACAUUGCAUUCAUGACUGAUUUACAUAAUUAUGAUUGUCGUUACAGCAACACUGUCCCUGAUAGGUGGUACGGCAUGGCUGUCAAGCUAGUUAGGGGGGCGGGCCUUCCUGCAUGGUCGAACAGCCAAUGUCUGGGGAGCCAACGUCUUGAUUAGCAAAGGCGGGCAGGUGUGCGUGACACAAAUGUUUGGGAAUGUGAGAGGCUUCGUGGCAGUUGGACGAGAGUCCGUCUGUGCCUUCCCGUGUUCUUCGUAAUAAGCCUUUUGAGUUAUUGUCGCGCGCUUUGUGUUAAAUAUUGAACUGUCGUCCGACGGAGAAAAGCGUUGGUUUGAACCGAGCAGAGUGAGCUGGUCCAGAGAGUGACGCAUCGUCGCGCCGAGAGAAGACUGCAACAGCAGAGGCAGUCUUACCAUCCUCAGGUAGUUCAUGAGGCUGGUGCCGUGUUCCCAGAUCUUGGAGGACUUGCAGGAGAGCUGAGUGGCACCAACAUUCUGGCUUCGGUUCAACUCCUGGACGGCUGCCACCACCGCGUACACCGCAUCAAAGAGCAGAGCUGAGGAGAGCUGCACAGGGAGAGGGAGGGAAGGAGAGAGACUCUGUCCUUCCUUCUCUUCUCCCCAAUGAAGCUGGCACACCCUGACCAUUCCAAUUACCGCCCACCUCUCUCAGCAGGGGCCAGAAAACUGUGGAAAAAGGCUGCUUUGCCUCUCAUCCCACCCCCUGUACAAACGUGCUCAUUGUCACUAACUCUGCAUCCUGCUAUGUACAUUUGUUUAAAUUCAUUAUGGCUUGGCCAAAAGUUAUGGGAAGAGAUGAAUUGGCUUGUCUGCUGUACAUCUGUGUAAAUAAACCAAACAAACUGAUGUCUUUAUAUAGGACUGAGAGAUAUUGUCACAGUUAUACAUUUUGGAAAACAAAGAGAGCUACUAGGCCAUUAAACUUUAAGACGAUAAUGUGCUACAACCUUUAAUUGGAAACAAUAAUUGGUGGAUUGCACAUUAAGAGCAAUAUGGUGUAGACAAACAGCCCGUGAAGACAUUACAAGUACGAGUUGAUGCCCUUUAGGUUUUACACACCGCAUGAAAUAUUACACAGACAAGUAAAUGUUACUACAGCUAUUCUGAUUAUAUUCCACUCUUGUCGGAUAAUUUCUCCAACAUAAGACCGAUAAUGUCAUGAGUUAACACAUUAUUAUUUCACACUUCCAGUCUGUCUUCCUUGCCAUCUUUUUUUAUUGCUUACAUUCUUUCUCUAAGCAUCAAUAAUCCACAGGUUUAAAACAUACAGUUACAACUUAAAAGAGAUACAAUUAAUGAAGCCUGAUCACAGACAUACAUAAUUAAGUUUUGCUUCUAAAAGUCAUUCACUACUUCACCAUUACUAGUAAUGGUACAUCAAGUAUAUUGACAGCUGAGAAAGAGAACGGCUGCUCCGUCAGGUCAAACUUUCAAUGUGUAAAUUUUAAAGACAAGAUUUUUGAUGCUCAAGUUUAUCUCCAGAUGUUUUUCAUGAAGCGACUAGAGUCAACAUUCGGCAGCUUGUCUGAAACUCGGCUUGUGUUGUUUUUAAUAUUUUCAGGCCUGUUUAACAAAUUCUAAUAUUGCAGCAAAAACCUUUCAGCCUUCGGUUCUGUUUGAAGUUCUCAAACACAAAUACUGUCACAUCUUGUGGACCUUCUGAUAUUUUUGUCUCAGAUAGGACUAGAAC
Molecule: non-coding RNA, 1760 nt
Organism: Labrus bergylta (ballan wrasse)
Lineage: Eukaryota; Metazoa; Chordata; Actinopteri; Labriformes; Labridae
Source: RefSeq, a predicted model, not a curated record